CACGUAGGCGGCUUGGUUAGUCAGGUGUGAAAGCCCCCGGCUCAACCGGGGAACUGCAUCUGAUACUGCCAGGCUCGAGGACGGUUGGGGUGAGUGGAACUCCUGGUGGAGCGGUGAAAUGCGUAGAUAUCAGGAGGAACACCAGUGGCGAAAGCGACUCACUGGACCGCUUCUGACGCUGAGGUGCGAAAGCCAGGGGAGCGAACG
This 207-nucleotide ribosomal RNA is filed under the name uncultured bacterium. RNAcentral's name for it is "partial 16S ribosomal RNA". It matches the Rfam family "Bacterial small subunit ribosomal RNA", at positions 568 to 774 of the family's 1533-position model. The record is from RNAcentral.